GACGAACGCUGGCGGCAGGCUUAACACAUGCGAGUCGCAGAGAACGCUAUGGCUUCAGCCGGGGCAGUACAGUGGCGGACGGGUGCGUAUCUCGUAGAUCACCUGCCCUCAGGCGCGGGACAAUCACGGGAAACCGUGGCUAAUACCGCACGUCUUCUGGACCCCGCAUGGGGACCAGAUGAAAGCUUGGGGUUACCCAGGCGCCUUUGGAUGGGUCUGCGUUGGAUUAACUUGUUGGUGAGGCAACCGCUCACCAAAGCUACAAUCCAUAGCUGGUCUGACAGGACGAUCAGCCACACUGGGACUGACACACAGCCCAGACUCCUACGGGAGGCAGCAGUGGGGAAUCUAGCACCAUGGGGUCACCCCUGAUGCACCCAAGCAACGUGGAAGAAGACACCCCUAUGGGGCGUACACUCCUAUUCAGAACGAAUAAACCCCUGUAGGUUCAAGGCGCGACAGAAGUACAGGAAUAAUCACCGGCUAACUCCGUGCCAACACCCACGGUAAUACCGAUGGUGCAAGCCUUGUCCUGAAUCAGUGGCUGUAGCGGGUGUGCAAGCCGGGCAUCAAGUCCGAUGUGAAACCCCAUGGCUCAACCAUGGAAGUGCAUUCCAAACUGUUGCUCUAGAUUCCCGGAGAGGCUGUCGGAAUUCGUAGUGUAACAGUGAAAUGCGUAAAUAUCACGAGGAACACCAGAGGCGAAAGCGGGCAGCUGGACGGGUAGUGAGGAUCAGGCAAGAAAGCGUGGGGAGCAAACACGAUUAGAUACGGUGGUAGUCCACGCUGUAAACGAUGAACGCUCGCCGUUGCCCCGCUCAAGGGGCAGUGGUUAAGUUAACGCGUUAAGCGUUCCACGUGGGGAGUACGAUCGCAAGGUUGAAAGUCAAAGGAAUUGAGGGGGGCCCGCACAAGAGGUGGAGCAUGUGGCUCAAUUCGAUGCAACGCGAAGAACAUUACGUAGGUUCGAACGGUAGAGGACCGGUCCUGAAAGGGAGCUUCCCCUUUGGGGCAUCUAGUGAGGUAUUGCAUGGCAGUGGUCAGCUCGUGUCGUGAGAUGUUGGGUUAAGUCCCGCAACGAGCGUAACCCUUGUUGAUAGUUACCAUCGGGUAGUGCCGGGGACUAUAGCGAAACUGCGUGCGCAAGCAGUGAGGAAGGUGGGGAAGACGUCAAGUCAUCAUGGUCGAUACGCAUAGGGCUGCACACGUGUUACAAUGGCCGGUACAACGGGUAGCCACCUCGUGAGAGGGAGAGAAUCCCUGAAAACCGGUCCCAGUUCGGAUAGGAGUUUGCAACUCGAAUCCAUGAAGCAGGAAUGGCUAGUAAUAGCGGAUCAGCAAUGCCGCGGUGAAUCCGUUCCCGGGCGUUGUACACACCGCCCGUCAAGCCAUGGAAGCUGAGAGCACCCGAAGUCCGUGAGUGAACUCCGGCCCUGUGUCGGAGAGAGAGCGGCCGAAGGUGAGUUCAGUGACUGGGGCU
This 1480-nucleotide ribosomal RNA is filed under the name uncultured bacterium. RNAcentral's name for it is "bacterial SSU rRNA". It matches the Rfam family "Bacterial small subunit ribosomal RNA". The record is from RNAcentral.